CUCUUAUGGAGAGUGGCGGAGGGACGGGCCCGACGAUGCCACGGCAACCGGUGCGUUCGACGUACGACGGUGCCAAAUCCUGCAGCAGCCUGCUGAGAAAUGAGAG
RNAcentral lists this non-coding RNA (106 nucleotides) under Sulfobacillus acidophilus. RNAcentral describes it as "SAM-I sequence". It matches the Rfam family "SAM riboswitch aptamer (S box leader)". From Rfam's summary of the family: The SAM riboswitch is found upstream of a number of genes which code for proteins involved in methionine or cysteine biosynthesis in Gram-positive bacteria. The SAM riboswitch acts at the level of transcription termination control. The predicted structure consists of a complex stem-loop region followed by a single stem loop terminator region. Lineage: Bacteria; Bacillati; Bacillota; Clostridia; Eubacteriales; Clostridiales Family XVII. Incertae Sedis. RNAcentral also lists the same sequence under 1 other name. The record is from RNAcentral.